GACGAGGGGUCCAAGCGUUGUUCGGAAUCAUUGGGCGUAAAGCGGGUGUAGGCGGCUCUAUAAGUCAGGAGUGAAAGCCCCGAGCUUAACUUGGGAAGUGCUUUUGAUACUGAAGAUCUUGAGUCCGGGAGAGGUGAGUGGAACUGCGAGUGUAGAGGUGAAAUUCGUAGAUAUUCGCAAGAACACCAGUGGCGAAGGCGGCUCACUGGCCCGGUACUGACGCUGAGACGCGAAAGCGUGGGGAGCGAACAGG
This 253-nucleotide ribosomal RNA is filed under the name uncultured bacterium. Its description in RNAcentral is "partial 16S ribosomal RNA". It matches the Rfam family "Bacterial small subunit ribosomal RNA", at positions 524 to 776 of the family's 1533-position model. The record is from RNAcentral.